RNAcentral lists this ribosomal RNA (732 nucleotides) under Fallicambarus gilpini. Its description in RNAcentral is "partial 28S ribosomal RNA". The stretch from base 280 to 732 matches the Rfam family "Eukaryotic large subunit ribosomal RNA", at positions 665 to 903 of the family's 3401-position model. The record is from RNAcentral. Lineage: Eukaryota; Metazoa; Arthropoda; Malacostraca; Decapoda; Cambaridae.
UGCUUGGGCGUGCCUCCAUCCACGCCGGCGUCGGCGGGCGUAUUUCGCCUCACAGUAGGUCGCCGCGACCCGUUGCUUUUGGGGACGUCGAAGGCCCGGACGGAUUGGUACCCUACCGGCUGGGGAUGCGGCUUCGGCUUCUCCUCUUGUCCGGUGGGCGAAACCGCCGGUGUCCUGGCUGCCCUGCGACGGUCGUAGAGACGAGCCCUCCCCUUCGGGGGGGCGGCUCUCGCGGCGUGCAAAAGGUCGGUGAUCCACCCGACCCGUCUUGAAACACGGACCAAGGAGUCUAACAUGUGUGCGAGUCAGUGGGCGCACUAAACCCAGAGGCGUAAUGAAAGUGACACGGGUUCGGCUGUCGCCUCGUGUGGCAGCCGGACUCAGGGCCGAUCCCUCACCGGUUGCCCUCGCCUCUCUCCCGCGUCUCGGUAAGCCGGGUGAGCUAUUUUCCCCGGCCGCUGCUGCGGGGCUCGGGGGGAGGCGGGGUGCGAUGGUGUCUGUAAAAAAGAGCCUGCUGUUGCAGGGGGGCGCAGGCCCGGGACUUGCCAGGACGCCGCGAGACUGUCACUUUGCUGUGAGGCUCUCGGGCCGAUCAGCGGGUCAUGCGUGCAGUCGGCAAGUACCAUGAGCAGACAUGUUGGGACCCGAAAGAUGGUGAACUAUGCCUGGCCAGGAUGAAGCCAGAGGAAACUCUGGUGGAGGUCCGUAGCGAUUCUGACGUGCAAAUCGAUC